Molecule: ribosomal RNA, 309 nt
Filed under: Enterococcus faecium
Lineage: Bacteria; Bacillati; Bacillota; Bacilli; Lactobacillales; Enterococcaceae
Description: bacterial SSU rRNA
Rfam family: Bacterial small subunit ribosomal RNA
Source: RNAcentral
AAGCAACGCGAAGAACCUUACCAGGUCUUGACAUCCUUUGACCACUCUAGAGAUAGAGCUUCCCCUUCGGGGGCAAAGUGACAGGUGGUGCAUGGUUGUCGUCAGCUCGUGUCGUGAGAUGUUGGGUUAAGUCCCGCAACGAGCGCAACCCUUAUUGUUAGUUGCCAUCAUUCAGUUGGGCACUCUAGCAAGACUGCCGGUGACAAACCGGAGGAAGGUGGGGAUGACGUCAAAUCAUCAUGCCCCUUAUGACCUGGGCUACACACGUGCUACAAUGGGAAGUACAACGAGUUGCGAAGUCGCGAGGCU